This 159-nucleotide small nuclear RNA is filed under the name Colobus angolensis palliatus. Its description in RNAcentral is "U1 spliceosomal RNA (ENSCANG00000011992.1)". It matches the Rfam family "U1 spliceosomal RNA". From Rfam's summary of the family: U1 is a small nuclear RNA (snRNA) component of the spliceosome (involved in pre-mRNA splicing). The record is from Rfam by way of RNAcentral. Lineage: Eukaryota; Metazoa; Chordata; Mammalia; Primates; Cercopithecidae.
AGACUUGGCAGGGGAGAUAGCAUGAUCACAAAGGUGGUUUUCCCAGGGCAAGAUUUAUUCACUGAGCUCUGGAUGUGCCGACCCCUACGACUUCCACCCAAGGGGGAAGCUUGACUGCUUAGUUUGUUGUAGCAGGGACUGUGUUCACACUUUCUCUGG